This 308-nucleotide ribosomal RNA is filed under the name uncultured Kluyvera sp. RNAcentral describes it as "bacterial SSU rRNA". It matches the Rfam family "Bacterial small subunit ribosomal RNA", at positions 355 to 655 of the family's 1533-position model. The record is from RNAcentral. Lineage: Bacteria; Pseudomonadati; Pseudomonadota; Gammaproteobacteria; Enterobacterales; Enterobacteriaceae.
UGGGGAAGUAUUGCACAAUGGGCGCAAGCCUGAUGCAGCCAUGCCGCGUGUAUGAAGAAGGCCUCGGGUUGUAAAGUACUUUCAGCGAGGAGGAAGGCAUUAAGGUUAAUAACCUUAGUGAUUGACGUUACUCGCAGAAGAAGCACCGGCUAACUCCGUGCCAGCAGCCGCGGUAAUACGGAGGGUGCAAGCGUUAAUCGGAAUUACUGGGCGUAAAGCGCACGCAGGCGGUCUGUCAAGUCGGAUGUGAAAUCCCCGGGCUCAACCUGGGAACUGCAUUCGAAACUGGCAGGCUAGAGUCUUGUAGA